AGCGAGAUAGUGUAAUAUGAUAGCACGAGAGACUCAUUACCUCUUAGUUUGGGUUCAAAUCCUAAUUUCGCUA
RNAcentral lists this transfer RNA (73 nucleotides) under Armillaria sinapina. RNAcentral's name for it is "tRNA-Asn". It matches the Rfam family "tRNA". From Rfam's summary of the family: Transfer RNA (tRNA) molecules are approximately 80 nucleotides in length. RNAcentral also lists the same sequence under 4 other names. Lineage: Eukaryota; Fungi; Basidiomycota; Agaricomycetes; Agaricales; Physalacriaceae. The record is from RNAcentral.